AUUGAACGCUGGCGGCAUGCCUUACACAUGCAAGUCGAACGGCAGCACGGGUGCUUGCACCUGGUGGCGAGUGGCGAACGGGUGAGUAAUACAUCGGAACAUGUCCUGUAGUGGGGGAUAGCCCGGCGAAAGCCGGAUUAAUACCGCAUACGAUCUUCGGAUGAAAGCGGGGGACCUUCGGGCCUCGCGCUAUAGGGUUGGCCGAUGGCUGAUUAGCUAGUUGGUGGGGUAAAGGCCUACCAAGGCGACGAUCAGUAGAUGGUCUGAGAGGACGACCAGCCACACUGGGACUGAGACACGGCCCAGACUCCUACGGGAGGCAGCAGUGGGGAAUUUUGGACAAUGGGCGAAAGCCUGAUCCAGCAAUGCCGCGUGUGUGAAGAAGGCCUUCGGGUUGUAAAGCACUUUUGUCCGGAAAGAAAUCCUUGGCUCUAAUACAGUCGGGGGAUGACGGUACCGGAAGAAUAAGCACCGGCUAACUACGUG
Molecule: ribosomal RNA, 486 nt
Filed under: uncultured bacterium
Lineage: Bacteria
Description: partial 16S ribosomal RNA
Rfam family: Bacterial small subunit ribosomal RNA
Source: RNAcentral